Solanum pennellii is the source of this 1526-nucleotide RNA transcript. RefSeq lists it as uncharacterized. Lineage: Eukaryota; Viridiplantae; Streptophyta; Magnoliopsida; Solanales; Solanaceae. The transcript is spliced from 3 exons. The record is from RefSeq and is a predicted model, not a curated record.
AGUGAGAACACUAAUUUGUUAAUGGUAGUGUCGGUGGUUUACUUCACCUCAUCUCAUUUUUCUCUUUCACUUCACUUCCACACACUAUUCCUUAAAAUUCUUUUUAUAUCAAAUAAAAAGUCCAAACAUCACCUCUAUUUAAUCCACUCAUCAUCUUCUUGAUUCGUCAAAAAUAAAAAAUCAAAAAAUUUCUUACUCUCAGUUUUGCUUAUAAAGAUCUAAUCUUUUCUGAAUUGGGUGAAAGAAAAAUCAUGAGAAUAUACCAAGAAAUGAAAGAUGAAGAAGCUCAAUCAAGAAUUAGUACAAAUACAGUAACAACAGUUUCUUCAGUUUCAGUAGUAGCAACACCAGCAGCAGCAGCAGCAACAUCAACUGUAAAAAAAGAUCAAGGAUUUAGUGGGGUAUUUGGUAAAGGUAAAUACAAAUUGUGGGUAUUGGCAGCAAUUCUUUUGCUAGCUUUUUGGUCUAUGUUUACUGGCUCACUUACUCUUAGUCUCAACUGGUCUACUUCAAAUCUCAGCCGUUUAUCUCAUGCUUCUGAUUUCACGAUCCAUGAAGAUCUUGAUAUUCUGGUAUUGGAGGAAAGAGAGAAGAUGGUAAAACAUAUGUGGGAUGUGUACACACAGAAUAGCAGGAUCAGGUUGCCUAAGUUCUGGCAAGACGCUUUCCAAGCAGCGUACCUAGAUUUGACGAGUGAUUCACCAGCUACCCGAGACACUGCUGUGUCGGAGAUUGCCAAGAUGUCCCUCCGCUCCACUUCCACUUAUGAAUCACCUUCCAACAAGAAACCAGAACCAAGGUAAAUUUUUCCAGUGAGACUUGUUUUAUUGUAUAUAUAUCAAUCAACUACGCGUCAGUUCCAAACUAGUCGAAAUCAGACUGUAUGAAUUCUUGAUAUACGUUCUGCUCAAAGUUCUGACAGUAAUUAGGGAGUUCCUUAAUCCUUGUUCUUCUCUUUACUGUGCUUUGUCAUAUGGGAUGAGGAUUAGCUUAGCGUGCAACUUAAUCUUGAGGGGCAACCGUUGUCUAGUGGUAAAUGAAAUAGAUUGAGAACUAUGAAGCCUAAGGUUCAUAUUCCAACGGAAGCAAAACACUAGGUGAUCUCUUCAUUUCUCUCCAAGCCUCAGUGGAUAGAGUUAUGUGAUGCCGGUGAGAUAGCAGAUACCCAAUCUGAGAAGCAGAGAAAGCAAAAGGAUCGAAAAGUCCGGCGAAGACGACAACUACAAAGAAACAGAAAUGAUGAUGAGGGAAAUAGUUGUGUUGAGAAUUAAGAUGCAAGGUAGAUGCAACAAAGUUGUGGUUGAACUCAUUCUUCUUGGUAGUCAAAGUUCUUUACUUGUAUUUAUACUACUACUACUAGAGCUUUAUUUAGAUCAUAAGAUCAAAAUUUAGUGAAGGCAAAGGUCUUCCUUUUGAUUGUUUCCACUUAAUAAUAUGCCAUUUUAAAAACAGCUGGUUAAUUAUGUUGUUAACUAAAAUCGGUUAUUCUUAUUUGGUUGAUCCAAAUCAUAUAGUAGUUCUCUCCA